GGAAGGGCCAUGGCUCAGAAGUAGAGUGUUUGUUUUGCACACAGGUUCAAAGGUCAAAGGUUCCAGGUUCAAUCCCCGGUGUCUCCA
This is a non-coding RNA of Podarcis lilfordi (Lilford's wall lizard), 87 nucleotides long. NCBI's taxonomy places the organism in Eukaryota, Metazoa, Chordata, Lepidosauria, Squamata, Lacertidae. The record is from the annotation of a GenBank genome assembly.